UACCCGCUGGAAUUAAGCAUAUCAAUAAGCGGAGGAAAAGAAACUAACAAGGAUUCCCCUAGUAACGGCGAGUGAAGAGGGAUCAGCCCAAAUUUGUAAUCUGGCUCUUUCAGAGUCUGAGUUGUAAUUUCAAGAACUGUUUUCUGCUCUGGACCAUGUACAAGUCUGUUGAAAUGCAGCAUCAUUGAGGGUGAGAAUCCUGUUUAUGAUAUGGACUACCAGUGCUCUAUGAUACAGUCUCUAAGAGUCGAGUUGUUUGGGAAUGCAGCUCAAAGUGGGUGGUAAAUUCCAUCUAAGGCUAAAUAUUGGUGAGAGACCGAUAGCAAACAAGUACCGUGAGGGAAAGAUGAAAAGAACUUUGGAAAGAGAGUUAACAGUACGUGAAAUUGUUAAAAGGGAAACAGUUGAAGUUAGACUUGUUGUUGUUGGUUCAGCUCUUUAAGGGUGUUUUCUGAUAAUUAACAAACCAACAUCAAUCUUUGGGUGUUGGAUAAGGGUCAUUGAAAUGUAGCAGUCUUGGCUGUGUUAUAGUCAUUGACUUGGAUACAAUGCCUAGGAUUGAGGAUUGCAGUAAGCCAUUUAUUUGGUGGGACAAUUUAUUGUUCUUCUUACUGAGGAUGUUGGUGCAAUAGCUUUAAUUGACCCGUCUUGAAACACGAAC
This 661-nucleotide ribosomal RNA is filed under the name Gymnosporangium yamadae. Its description in RNAcentral is "partial 28S ribosomal RNA". It matches the Rfam family "Eukaryotic large subunit ribosomal RNA", at positions 22 to 666 of the family's 3401-position model. The record is from RNAcentral. Lineage: Eukaryota; Fungi; Basidiomycota; Pucciniomycetes; Pucciniales; Gymnosporangiaceae.